GGAUCCCUGGUGCGUGCCACUGUGCCCAGCACGCGCCACACUUCUUCUGCCCCCUCGAUUUCCUAGCUCUUCCUUCCUCCUCUGGCCCUCUAGGAUUUCUUCUGGCUUUUUAUUCCCAGCUAAACAGCUUAAUUAAGAAGGUGUAUCAACAUGGAACUCCAACCUGCUUAUUUCCUCUUAGCUAUAUUUUCACUAAUAUUUUCUUCUUUCUUCCCCGUCAUCUAAUCAUUUUCUUUCUUAUCCUUUCGUCUCAGAAUAAGCAGGAUCUUAUUUUUUUCCAAAAGAACCGCAAUCCUAGUUCUUCACCUGCCCUCAAGAGUUUGGUCGCCGUGUGGUGUGAAAACAAACAGCAGCCCCAGAGCUAACUCCCUCAGCUUCCUCCCGCACCGUCCUCCUGGGCAGAGCCCUGCGGAAAGCCGCGCAAGCGAGCAAGGCCGUUGGACAGCGCGUGACCCACACCAGCCCCGCCGCACACUGCCCCGAACCGAAGUCCUUUCCACCGGGACGGAGCCGGAUUUUACACCUCUGACUCCUGUCAGUACUCGGAAUGGCGGAGCUGAAGGACUGACUCACUCGCGCUGGCCCUCCCGGGCUGUGUGGGCCGCCGCCCGCUCGCGCGGCAGCAUUUGAACUCACCGCGUCGGCCUGUGCGAGCGCUCCGCGGCAGGCAGGGAGCCGGGGGAGCUGCGUUCGCUUACGGAGCCGCGUCGGGAGGCAGGGCUGGCGCGGGCCUGCUGGCCGUACUUCACUGCGCACCGGCCGCUCCAGGCCCGAGACACAAGAGGAGGCUUUCCUGAAGGGCCUUUUAGAGACAGGCGCGAGCUGAAACCCGGCCCCGAGCGCUCCGCACGCUUUGAGCGCGCUGCGCAUCUGCCCCCGGCAGAGGAAGGCCCGGGUGGAGCCCUGGGCAGGCCGCAGAAAUGGGAAUCUUCAAAACAAGGACAGUCUCCUCCCUUUCUGUCCAUCCCCUUCAAUUUUCUGAUCCUUUCCCUCCACUCCCUCUUUCUUGUAAAGACUCAAACUCUGAAAUAAUUAUAUGAAAUUAAGUCGGUAAACGCCAGCCUCGCUUCCUCGAGAUUGAUGUGUUCACGUUUCGGGCAGUUUUCUCAGGACUCGGAGGGACUAUUAUUUCUGAGCUUGGCUGGGAAUCUCCCUCCUCCCCGGGCAGAGAAGAGCCUCCUCCUCCGAAACCGCAGUUGCUCUCUUCCGUGACACCUCCCCCGAGACACGGCCUGUGCCCAGGAGAGGUUCACGCAGUGCGUUUCUGUUUGUUUGUUUGCUUUCCUGAGUGCUCAAGGAUUUUCUUCUGGCCACACCUACCCGCAGCUGCAAAAGAGGAGAAACUCUCUGUGCCAGGCUGAGUGGGGAAAGCACGUGUCCCUUGGCCACAGGGAGGGACGGUUUGCCAGUCCGGCUCGUGGGGAAGCGGGUGAGGGAGACUCUUUCCAGCCCCACCUGUCUGCUCCUAUCUGUGUAUCGGGAUGAGCAGGCGGUGGAUUGUGAGCGAAAAGGCAUCUUCAUGCAAAUUAUAUUGCCCUGAAAAAUAAUAACUCACAACGGUGUGACCUUGCUCUCACUUUCCACUACGUGCAUAAGAUAAAUGCGAGAUAACUAGGAUUCUCUGCCCUGGAGAAUGGCUUGGGCGCCCUGUCCUGCAGCUGGGCUGAAUUCCCCACGUUGCCUUGGAGCCUGCAGGGAGACUAGCAGCGUCCGGUUCAGGAGGUGCCUGCCUGCCUGCCCUGACACAUCUCUGCUAAUUAUGACGGCUUUGUAACCCUGGGCCCUUCUGCCCCCGGGGCUCGUAAAAGGUGCCCGCAACCUCAGCCUUCCUGUGCCUCCCUGCCCCUAGGUAGAAAUCCUCCCCUUGCAGGAAGUGCAGAGCAGAGUUCAAAGCUUUCUUGGUCAAAAGAAGGUACGCCUGAUCCAGUAUAACAUGAUUAGGUACCAAUUAGACCGAAAAAUGCCGGGUCCCCUGCCUCUCUGGCCAGCGCUGGCCCCUGGCCACCCCUGCCUUUUUGGAAGAUAUUUACCCUUUCCUCGGUCAGCAGGAAAACGCAAACUCAAACUGAGCACGUCUAGGGUCAACGCCACAGGCCUCGGGCUGUGUGCGGAUAAGGGGCUCUAAAGAGUCUGAGAUGUGAGGUCCCCACCGAGCGUAGCUCAGGGACAGAGCUCAAGGGAGAGAGGACACAGGGGAAGCCCGCGUCCACGGACCCCAGCGCAGGCCCCAGUGCUCUGGUGAUUCGCUGUGUGACUGCCAGGCCUGUUUCCUUGCUAUAAAACAAGCCCAGUUCAACCUAUGGUAGAAGGAGGUUAAAGGGGACCGUAAAUCUUUCUGGGCAUUGAAGAUGCGUGGCAAACCCAGCCUGAUGUCUUUUACAUCUGUUUCGGGCUCGCAGCCUCAGCUGGCUCCGCUGCCUUCUCUGCCGCGGUCCCUCCAGGCACCCCCGGCCGGCUGAGUGGCAGG
Molecule: long non-coding RNA, 2467 nt
Organism: Chinchilla lanigera (long-tailed chinchilla)
Lineage: Eukaryota; Metazoa; Chordata; Mammalia; Rodentia; Chinchillidae
Source: Ensembl